GAGUUGUGGCACUCUGAUAAAUGGGUUUUGUGAGAAUGAGGAUUUGGAUGGAGCUUAUGAGCUAUUCAGAAGAAUGAGAAGGCAAUAUAAGUAUUUUCAUACUACUGCAACAUACAAUAUAAUGAUCAGUGCAUUUUCUAAAAAGCUGAAAAUGGACAUGGCAGAGAAGCUUUUUCUUGAGAUGAAUGAAUGUGGCUGUCCUCCUGACAGCUACACAUACCGUUGUAUGAUAGAUGGUUUCU
RNAcentral lists this unclassified non-coding RNA (242 nucleotides) under Hevea brasiliensis (rubber tree). The record is from RNAcentral. Lineage: Eukaryota; Viridiplantae; Streptophyta; Magnoliopsida; Malpighiales; Euphorbiaceae.